Molecule: ribosomal RNA, 1428 nt
Filed under: Triticum aestivum (bread wheat)
Lineage: Eukaryota; Viridiplantae; Streptophyta; Magnoliopsida; Poales; Poaceae
Description: partial small subunit ribosomal RNA
Source: RNAcentral
AUGGAGACCACCCUGACCACACGCAGCCAAGACACCUUCACAGGUCUCCAUGUCAGGUUCUAUCCCCGUACGAAGCAUAUCAUGGAAGAGCUCCACCACCUCCUUGAAAAAACCGCCAUCACCGAAUACAUUGAAGAGCACAUUGUAGGUGGCCGUGUCUGGAGGUACAGCCGUUCUCAUCUCACGGAAGAGCUCACGCACGCCAUCGAACCUCCCCUGUUUUCCAUACUGAUCGAGCAGGACACGGUAUGUCGCAGCCGUGGGCGCACAGCCAUCAGCCUGCAUUUGCCGCAGCACGGCCACAGCUUCAGCGGUGGCACCAAUCCGGGUGUGAGCCUCCAUGAGCCCGAGAUACGCGGAGGGGUCCGGCGUGUGCCCUGUGUCCGCCAUCUCGCGGAACAGCUCGGCGACACGGGAGAGGUCGCCGGCAUUGGCAAAGGCAUCCACGAUGUAGCGGUAGGACGCGGUGUCCGGAAUAAUGCCGGCCUCAAGCAUGGUGCGCAGCAGCAUCUCGGACUGGUCGCUGAGGGCGCGCACGGCGGCAGCGGCGAGGAGCGUGUUGUAGGUGGUGAGGUCGGGGCGCACGGCCGGGGAAGGGUCGUGGCGCAUCUCGGCGAAGAGGCCGAGGAGCAUGUCGAAGGGGACGGGCGGGUCGGCGGCGCGGGCGCAGGCGGCGAGCACGGUGUUGUAGGUGGCGGCGGUGGGGGCGACCCCCUGGGCCUUCAUCUGGUCGAGCAGGGCGCGGGCGUCGUCGUGCAGCGCGUUGCGGGCGUAGGCGGCGAUGAGGGAGGUGUAGGAGAGCGCGGUGCGGGCGUCGGCGGGGAGGUCCUGGAAGACCUCGAGGCACUUGUCGAGGAGGGCCGGGCCCUGGCGGCCGAGCACGCCGAUGACGAUGGCGUGGAUGUGCUCGUCGGGGCGGCACCAGGACUGGCGCUGCAUGUACUUGAAGAGGCGCACGGAGCGCUGCCAGUCGCCGCGGCGGGAGAACUCGCGGUACACCGCCGCGAAGUCCUGCAGCGUCAGCCGGUGCUUGGCCGUCUCGAGGCACCGCGCGAUGGAGCCCCGCGGCGCCAGGUUGCUCAGCCGGUCGAUCAGCGAGUCCACCUCGUACGAGUACCUGCCCCGCUCCCCCGCCCCCGCCGCCGCCGGGGCGGCCUCCUCCUUGGGCGUGGUCGUCAGCUGGCCCCGCGCCCGCGCCAGCACCGCCAGCCUGCCCCCGCCCCCGCCCCCGCCGCGGCUCCUCGGGCGGCACCAGCUCCUGGCGGCCACCGGGCGGAGCGGGUGGUCGUAGUGGUAGGAGUAGGACGACGAGGAGGCGACGGUGGUGGUGGAGACGAGCGCCAUGCGGCGGCGGCCGGCGAGGGGGAGUGGGGGUUUUGGAUUUCACCACUGGGGAGAGAUUUUUCCGCUCGCUUCCGAAGUGGAUAG